GUCCCGCAGCCCCGGCGUCCGUCGAGAUGUGGUUAGCCUCAAUUCCUGAUUCUCACCAAGGUGUGUAAUGUCAUCCACGGCCCAGUGCAGAGGAACACGUGCUGCCGUCAGACUGCCAGGGUCCGAUCCCGCCUCCUCACUCACCCCGGGAGAUCCCUUUAAGCCAGGAGUCAACAGUGAGGAUGGAAACAUGAGUGCUUUUUAAAGUCCUGAAAGUUCAGAGGCAGACUGUCAAUUUCUCCUGCACCCCUGGGCACACACCAGGAGAACUUUGUCUCCAGGAUCAAGUAAGUGCCUGUGAGAGAGUUGUGUCCCUCAGAUUCUGUUCACCACAGGUGACACUCGAUGCAACCCCAAACCUCUUCUGCACAAUCCCAAGGGGUGCUGACUAAUCCAACCCAAAGGCUGUGAUGUUUGGCAGAGGCAGAAAAGAAAAGGCCAGGUGUUCCGGGAAAGAUCACCUUCAAAUAACACAGCACUCUCAUAGCCCAGAGAGACAGUUCUUACUAUUAUGCCAAUAAACCUGGAAAAGACCAAAUCCAAUUUGACACAUAUUUCCUUUUUCGUUUUGAUUUCAUGCCCCCUCCCUCAACCUCCCAAGCAGCAUGGAUACCCCGAAGGCCCCUGGGAACUCUCUCCCAUUGGCUCUUACGUGGAAAGUAGUUACCUACCUGCAAAAUCCUCGUCAUCAGACAUGCUCUCCACAAUCAAAUCUUUAGAAACACAAACAUCAGGAUAAGUCAUUAGAGAGAGGCCCAUCCACCCCUCCCACCCCAGCUGAAGCCUGGGUGCUUCACACAGGAUCCCCUGAUGUUUCCUCUGCUUCACAGACAUCCCUACAGCCUCUCUGGACAUUGUUUUAUACUUGCAAAAUCAUUUGCUCUCACCAGACCCCAAAUCCUCCUUCCCAAAAGGAGCCCAGAAUCAGGUUUCUGUACCCUA
RNAcentral lists this long non-coding RNA (942 nucleotides) under Pan troglodytes (chimpanzee). RNAcentral's name for it is "long non-coding RNA NONPTRT009551". Lineage: Eukaryota; Metazoa; Chordata; Mammalia; Primates; Hominidae. The record is from RNAcentral.